UGUGGGAGCGAGCUUGCUCGCGAAGCGGUAUUUCAGCCUGCAAGGAUAUUGACUGUGCCGCCGCCAUCGCGAGCAAGCUCGCUCCCACA
This 89-nucleotide unclassified non-coding RNA is filed under the name Pseudomonas sp. NFACC15-1. The record is from RNAcentral. Lineage: Bacteria; Pseudomonadati; Pseudomonadota; Gammaproteobacteria; Pseudomonadales; Pseudomonadaceae. RNAcentral also lists the same sequence under 1 other name.